UGAACGCUGGCGGCAGGCCUAACACAUGCAGGUCGAACGGCAGCACAGAAGAGCUUGCUCUUUGGGUGGCGAGUGGCGGACGGGUGAGUAAUGUCUGGGAAACUGCCCGAUGGAGGGGGAUAACUACUGGAAACGGUAGCUAAUACCGCAUAACGUCGCAAGACCAAAGUGGGGGACCUUCGGGCCUCACACCAUCGGAUGUGCCCAGAUGGGAUUAGCUAGUAGGUGGGGUAAUGGCUCACCUAGGCGACGAUCCCUAGCUGGUCUGAGAGGAUGACCAGCCACACUGGAACUGAGACACGGUCCAGACUCCUACGGGAGGCAGCAGUGGGGAAUAUUGCACAAUGGGCGCAAGCCUGAUGCAGCCAUGCCGCGUGUAUGAAGAAGGCCUUCGGGUUGUAAAGUACUUUCAGCGGGGAGGAAGGCGGUGAGGUUAAUAACCUUGCCGAUUGACGUUACCCGCAGAAGAAGCACCGGCUAACUCCGUGCCAGCAGCCGCGGUAAUACGGAGGGUGCAAGCGUUAAUCGGAAUUACUGGGCGUAAAGCGCACGCAGGCGGUCUGUUAAGUCAGAUGUGAAAUCCCCGAGGCUUUACCUGGGAACUGCAUUUGAAACUGGCAGGCUUGAGUCUCGUAGAGCGUCUGUAGUAAUUCCAGGUGUAGCGGUGAAAAUAGAUAGAAGAUCUGGAGGAAUACCCGGUGGCGAAGGCGGCCCCCCUGGACGAAGACUGACGCUCAGGUGCGAAAAGCGUGGGGAGCAAACAGGAUUAGAUACCCUGGUAGUCCACGCCGUAAACGAUGUCGACUUGGAGGUUGUGCCCUUGAGGCGUGGCUUCCGGAGCUAACGCGUUAAGUCGACCGCCUGGGGAGUACGGCCGCAAGGUUAAAACUCAAAUGAAUUGACGGGGGCCCGCACAAGCGGUGGAGCAUGUGGUUUAAUUCGAUGCAACGCGAAGAACCUUACCUGGCCUUGACAUCCAGAGAACUUAGCAGAGAUGCUUUGGUGCCUUCGGGAACUCUGAGACAGGUGCUGCAUGGCUGUCGUCAGCUCGUGUUGUGAAAUGUUGGGUUAAGUCCCGCAACGAGCGCAACCCUUAUCCUUUGUUGCCAGCGGUUCGGCCGGGAACUCAAAGGAGACUGCCGGUGAUAAACCGGAGGAAGGUGGGGAUGACGUCAAGUCAUCAUGGCCCUUACGGCCAGGGCUACACAUGUGCUACAAUGGCGCAUACAAAGAGAAGCGACCUCGCGAGAGCAAGCGGACCUCAUAAAGUGCGUCGUAGUCCGGAUUGGAGUCUGCAACUCGACUCCAUGAAGUCGGAAUCGCUAGUAAUCGUAGAUCAGAAUGCUACGGUGAAUACGUUCCCGGGCCUUGUACUCACCGC
RNAcentral lists this ribosomal RNA (1381 nucleotides) under uncultured bacterium. RNAcentral describes it as "16S ribosomal RNA". It matches the Rfam family "Bacterial small subunit ribosomal RNA", at positions 30 to 1393 of the family's 1533-position model. The record is from RNAcentral.